Molecule: non-coding RNA, 88 nt
Filed under: Thalassiosira minuscula
Lineage: Eukaryota; Bacillariophyta; Thalassiosirophyceae; Thalassiosirales; Thalassiosiraceae
Source: RNAcentral
GCGUGCCAUCGUCCCCUCAGCAUCAAUUGUAAUCAUCUCCUCCUCGUCCUCGGCCAAGGCGACAGCGACCGCAGUUAGCGCCGAGGGG